RNAcentral lists this ribosomal RNA (324 nucleotides) under uncultured bacterium. Its description in RNAcentral is "bacterial SSU rRNA". It matches the Rfam family "Bacterial small subunit ribosomal RNA", at positions 390 to 706 of the family's 1533-position model. The record is from RNAcentral.
AGCAACGCCGCGUGUGUGAUGAAGGGUUUCGGCUCGUAAAACACUGUUGUAAGAGAAGAAUGACAUUGAGAGUAACUGUUCAAUGUGUGACGGUAUCUUACCAGAAAGGAACGGCUAAAUACGUGCCAGCAGCCGCGGUAAUACGUAUGUUCCAAGCGUUAUCCGGAUUUAUUGGGCGUAAAGCGAGCGCAGACGGUUAUUUAAGUCUGAAGUGAAAGCCCUCAGCUCAACUGAGGAAUUGCUUUGGAAACUGGAUGACUUGAGUGCAGUAGAGGAAAGUGGAACUCCAUGUGUAGCGGUGAAAUGCGUAGAUAUAUGGAAGAA